Molecule: ribosomal RNA, 414 nt
Filed under: uncultured microorganism
Description: bacterial SSU rRNA
Rfam family: Archaeal small subunit ribosomal RNA
Source: RNAcentral
CAGCAGCCGCGGUAAUACCGGCGGCCCGAGUGGCGGUCACUAUUAUUUGGCUUAAAGCGUCCGUAGCCGGGGUGGGAAGGCCUCCGGGAAAUCUGGCCGCUUAACGGUCAGAAUGCCGGAGGAUACUCCCAGCCUAGGGAGCGGGAGAGGCCGAGGGGAUUCCCGGAGUAGGGGUGAAAUCCUAUAAUCCCGGGAGGACCACCUGUGGCGAAGGCGCUCGGCUGGAACGCGUCCGACGGUGAGGGACGAAGGCCAGGGGAGCAAACCGGAUUAGAUACCCGGGUAGUCCUGGCUGUAAACGAUGCGGACUUUGUGUCGGACAAGCUAUGAGCUUGUCCGGUGCCGGAGGGAAACCGUUAAGUCCGCCGCCUGGGGAGUACGGCCGCAAGGCUGAAACUUAAAGGAAUUGGCGGG